Long non-coding RNA from Cebus imitator (Panamanian white-faced capuchin), 202 nucleotides. RefSeq lists it as uncharacterized. The record is from RefSeq and is a predicted model, not a curated record. The transcript has 2 exons. NCBI's taxonomy places the organism in Eukaryota, Metazoa, Chordata, Mammalia, Primates, Cebidae.
AUGGUGAAACCCCGUCUCGACUAAAAAUACAAAAAUUAGCUGGGCAUGGUGGCACAUGCCUGUAAUCCCAGUGACUCGGGAGACUAUGGCAGGAGAAUAGGCUUGAACCCGGGAGGUAGAGGUUGCAGUGAGCCGAGAUUGUGUCAUUGCACUCCAGCCUGGGUGACAAGAGCAAGACUCCAUGUCAAAAAAAGAAAAAGAA